This 433-nucleotide ribosomal RNA is filed under the name uncultured bacterium. Its description in RNAcentral is "partial 16S ribosomal RNA". It matches the Rfam family "Bacterial small subunit ribosomal RNA", at positions 29 to 507 of the family's 1533-position model. The record is from RNAcentral.
AACGAACGCUGGCGGCAGGCUUAACACAUGCAAGUCGAGCGAGACCUUCGGGUCUAGCGGCGGACGGGUGAGUAACGCGUGGGAACGUGCCCUUCUCUACGGAAUAGCCCCGGGAAACUGGGAGUAAUACCGUAUACGCCCUUUGGGGGAAAGAUUUGUCGGAGAAGGAUCGGCCCGCGUUGGAUUAGGUAGUUGGUGGGGUAAUGGCCCACCAAGCCGACGAUCCAUAGCUGGUUUGAGAGGAUGAUCAGCCACACUGGGACUGAGACACGGCCCAGACUCCUACGGGAGGCAGCAGUGGGGAAUCUUAGACAAUGGGGGCAACCCUGAUCUAGCCAUGCCGCGUGAGUGAUGAAGGCCUUAGGGUUGUAAAGCUCUUUCAGCUGGGAAGAUAAUGACGGUACCAGCAGAAGAAGCCCCGGCUAACUCCGUG